Non-coding RNA from Pelobates cultripes (western spadefoot toad), 671 nucleotides. The record is from the annotation of a GenBank genome assembly. NCBI's taxonomy places the organism in Eukaryota, Metazoa, Chordata, Amphibia, Anura, Pelobatidae.
CACAUCAUCAGCAAAUAUGGAUAUUUUCUAUUCAUAAACUGCUGAUUUAAUCCCAAAUAUUUUCUUAUUUUCCUAAUCAUUAUGACUAAUGGUUCAAUGGACAGAAUGUAUAAUAAUGGAGCCAAUGGGCCUCCUUGUCUUGUACCAUUGUUAAUUAAAAAUACAGCUGAUUCAAAUGAGGGAUUUAUCAUUUUUGCACAAGGUUCUGAAUAUAAUGACAUUAUUUUAUCCUUAAAAGGACCUUGUAAGACAAAUUUUGCCAAUACUCGGUCUACAAAUCUCCAGUAAAACAAGUCCUGAUAUAUACAUUUUUACGAGCAUCCCUAAAUCAAAUGAUAUGGAAACCCUGAUGGGGGAGAGGCUUGUCACCCUGUGUUAAAGGGACAAUCCAGAUCUUUAGCUUGCUGAAGUGCUUUAUUUCUGAAGAGUGUGUCCUAUUUUUCAUUUUACAAAUUGCAGUUAUCAACAGAAAUUGGCACUUUUGCAAAUGAACUUUGUUACACCCUGGCUGUCAAUCAGACAACCAUUCUUGUUACUUAAUGGUUUGGUUAUUUCAGUGGAGCUAAUCUCAAGAUGCAGCAAUUGCUCAGAGUACCUGCCUUGCAAAGAGUUCUUGAGCCGGGAAGUCUAUGAUUGGACAACCACGGAAAGUGUGGGCGGGGUUAGAAAGG